RNAcentral lists this ribosomal RNA (318 nucleotides) under uncultured marine proteobacterium. RNAcentral describes it as "bacterial SSU rRNA". It matches the Rfam family "Bacterial small subunit ribosomal RNA", at positions 247 to 557 of the family's 1533-position model. The record is from RNAcentral. Lineage: Bacteria; Pseudomonadati; Pseudomonadota.
UGUUGGUGGGGUAAUGGCUCACCAAGGCGACGAUCCCUAGCUGGUCUGAGAGGAUGAUCAGCCACACUGGAACUGAGACACGGUCCAGACUCCUACGGGAGGCAGCAGUGGGGAAUAUUGCACAAUGGGCGAAAGCCUGAUGCAGCCAUGCCGCGUGUAUGAAGAAGGCCUUCGGGUUGUAAAGUACUUUCAGUUGUGAGGAAGGGUGUGUAGUUAAUAGCUGCAUAUCUUGACGUUAGCAACAGAAGAAGCACCGGCUAACUCCGUGCCAGCAGCCGCGGUAAUACGGAGGGUGCGAGCGUUAAUCGGAUUUACUGG